Molecule: small nuclear RNA, 101 nt
Filed under: Lynx canadensis (Canada lynx)
Lineage: Eukaryota; Metazoa; Chordata; Mammalia; Carnivora; Felidae
Source: RNAcentral
UUGCUUUGGCAGCACAUAUACUAAAGUUGGAACGAUACAGAGACCCACCCUUGCCCUUGCGCAAGGGUGACACGCAAAUUCGUGACGCUUCCAUAUUUAAA